GAUGAAGAACGUAGCGAAAUGCGAUAAGUAGUGUGAAUUGCAGAAUUCAGUGAAUCAUCGAAUCUUUGAACGCACAUUGCGCCCCUUGGUAUUCCAUGGGGCAUGCCUGUUCGAGCGUCAUUUGUACCUUCAAGCUUUGCUUGGUGUUGGGUGUUUGUCUCGCCUCUGCGCGCAGACUCGCCUCAAAACAAUUGGCAGCCGGCGUAUUGAUUUCGGAGCGCAGUACAUCUCGCGCUUUGCACUCAUAACGACGACGUCCAAAAGUACAUUUUUACACUCUUGACCUCGGAUCAGGUAGGGAUACCCGCUGAACUUAAGCAUAUCAAUAAGCGGAGGA
RNAcentral lists this unclassified non-coding RNA (337 nucleotides) under soil metagenome. RNAcentral describes it as "partial contains 5.8S ribosomal RNA, internal transcribed spacer 2, and large subunit ribosomal RNA". The stretch from base 1 to 120 matches the Rfam family "5.8S ribosomal RNA", at positions 35 to 154 of the family's 154-position model. The record is from RNAcentral.